This 494-nucleotide ribosomal RNA is filed under the name uncultured bacterium. RNAcentral describes it as "bacterial SSU rRNA". It matches the Rfam family "Bacterial small subunit ribosomal RNA", at positions 791 to 1284 of the family's 1533-position model. The record is from RNAcentral.
UAGUCCACACCGUAAACGAUGAAUGCCAGUCGUCGGGUAGCAUGCUAUUCGGUGACACACCUAACGGAUUAAGCAUUCCGCCUGGGGAGUACGGUCGCAAGAUUAAAACUCAAAGGAAUUGACGGGGGGCCCGCACAAGCGGUGGAGCAUGUGGUUUAAUUCGAUGCAACGCGAAAAACCUUACCUACCCUUGACAUCCUCAGAACUUGUUAGAGAUAACUUGGUGUCUUCGGAAACUGAGUGACAGGUGCUGCAUGGCUGUCGUCAGCUCGUGUCGUGAGAUGUUGGGUUAAGUCCCGCAACGAGCGCAACCCUUGUCCCUAGUUGCCAGCAUUUCGGAUGGGAACUCUAGGGAGACUGCCGGUGACAAACCGGAGGAAGGUGGGGAUGACGUCAAGUCAUCAUGGCCUUAUGGGGUAGGGGCUACACACGUGCUACAAUGGUCGGUACAGAGGGUUGCCAAGCCGCGAGGUGGAGCUAAUCUCAGAAAACCG